CAGUCGCCGCGGUAAUCCGUAGGUGGCAAGCGUUGUCCGGAAUUAUUGGGCGUAAAGGGCUCGCAGGCGGUUUCUUAAGUCUGAUGUGAAAGCCCCCGGCUCAACCGGGGAGGGUCAUUGGAAACUGGGAAACUUGAGUGCAGAAGAGGAGAGUGGAAUUCCACGUGUAGCGGUGAAAUGCGUAGAGAUGUGGAGGAACACCAGUGGCGAAGGCGACUCUCUGGUCUGUAACUGACGCUGAGGAGCGAAAGCGUGGGGAGCGAACAGGAUUAGAUACCCCUGUAGUCCCUGUCUCUUAUAC
RNAcentral lists this ribosomal RNA (301 nucleotides) under uncultured bacterium. RNAcentral's name for it is "partial 16S ribosomal RNA". It matches the Rfam family "Bacterial small subunit ribosomal RNA", at positions 509 to 807 of the family's 1533-position model. The record is from RNAcentral.